UGCAGUCGACGGUACAGGUAGAGCUUGCUUCUUUGCUGACGAGUGGCGGACGGGUGAGUUGUGUCUGGGACUCUGCCUGAUGGAGGGGGAUCUCUACUGGACACGGUAGCUUAUACCGCAUAGCGUCGCGAGACCAAAGAGGGGGACCUUCGGGUCUCGUGCCAUCAUAUGUGCCCAUAUGGGAUUAGCUAGUAGGUGGGAUAACGUCUCACCUAGGCGACUAUCCCUAUCUGGUCUGAGAGGAUGACCAGCCACACUGGAUCUGACACACGGUCCACACUCCUACGGGAGGCAGCAGUGGGAGUAUAUUGCACUGUGGGCGCAAGCGUGAUGCACCCAUGCCGCGUGUAUGAAGAGCGCCUUCGGGUGUGUAAAGUACUUUCAGCGGGAGAGG
Molecule: ribosomal RNA, 394 nt
Filed under: Escherichia coli
Lineage: Bacteria; Pseudomonadati; Pseudomonadota; Gammaproteobacteria; Enterobacterales; Enterobacteriaceae
Description: bacterial SSU rRNA
Rfam family: Bacterial small subunit ribosomal RNA
Source: RNAcentral